RNAcentral lists this ribosomal RNA (395 nucleotides) under uncultured bacterium. RNAcentral describes it as "bacterial SSU rRNA". It matches the Rfam family "Bacterial small subunit ribosomal RNA", at positions 8 to 429 of the family's 1533-position model. The record is from RNAcentral.
AGAGUUUGAUCCUGGCUCAGAGCGAACGCUGGCGGCAGGCUUAACACAUGCAAGUCGAACGGGCAUAGCAAUAUGUCAGUGGCAGACGGGUGAGUAACACGUGGGAACAUACCUUUUGGUUCGGAACAACUGAGGGAAACUUCAGCUAAUACCGGAUAAGCCCUUACGGGGAAAGAUUUAUCGCCGAAAGAUUGGCCCGCGUCUGAUUAGCUAGUUGGUGUGGUAACGGCUCACCAAGGCGACGAUCAGUAGCUGGUCUGAGAGGAUGAUCAGCCCCACUGGGACUGAGACACGGCCCAGACUCCUACGGGAGGCAGCAGUGGGGAAUAUUGGACAAUGGGCGAAAGCCUGAUCCAGCCAUGCCGCGUGAGUGAUGAAGGCCCUAGGGUUGUAAA